ACUUGAAGGCCGCUUGAGGUGCCAAAAUAAAUCAAUAUCCACUUGAGGUGCCUAAGUGAAAAAUGACGCGUAAUUAAGAGUCUGGCGAUAAAUUUUGCCAAUUCUUUUCCAUCUCUGACUAGAUUAGAAAUUAACAAGCAAGUGAAAUUGCGCUCACCUUUUCUCCUUCUUGUUAUAUAUAACUUAAACUCUUAAUUAGAAACUGAGAAGCCCCAUCACAUGCAUUACAUGCAACUAAUUAACCAUUAACAUGAAGCCAUAUAUACACUGUGGAACAACCUGUCAUUUCUGCCAGAAGUGGAGUUUCUCAGCCAAUUAACAAAGAAACACUAGUUAAAUGGCCAAACAAAAAGCAAAUACCUUGAAUCAUCUCUAUUACUCUGUAUGUAAAAAGAAAAAAGUGAAGCCCGGUUCACUAAAACUCCCUCUAUGUGCAGGGUCCGAGGAAGCACCCGACCACAAGGAUCUAUUGUACGCAAUCUUACCUUGCAUUUCUGCCAGAAGUUGUUCUAAGGCUUGAACCCGUGGCCUUUAGGUCACAUCGCAACAACUUUACCAGUUACUCUAAGGCUCCCCUUCAAUUUCUCUCCGUAUAUAUGGUUCUUAAAAGAAUCAAGAUUUUCAAGGAACAAACAAACAGCCAAACCUUGAACUAGGAAAGAACAUUGUAAUUAACUAAUACAGUUAUCAAUACUUGUGGUGGUGAAAACUAGAAGAUACUGGAUAAACUAAUCCAUGUGGAACAACAACAUCAUGAUGGCCAGUCUAAUCUCACAAGUAGGGCAUGAGAGGGUAGAGUGUACGUGGACCUUACGCCUAACUUUGUUGAGAGGUUGUUUCCCAUAUACACACGUCUCAAAAAAAGCAAAACAAACCAGUUCAGAAAAAAAUAAGUUAAAGUGAAAAAGUCAUGACAAAAUAUUAUAUAAAGCAUAAAAGCAAUUCGAAGAAACGGAACAAUAACUACCAUAAAAUAGUACAUAUAACCGAAGUACAAGAAACAACAUACAGUAGUAGUAGCAGCAGAUAUAGGACAAGAAACUAGAAAGUACAAAUUAUAACAGAAACAGAACGAUAACAAACUACAAGAGUAAUACUACGACUACUAGUUUAGAAGGAUAAGAGUGACAAUGCUCAAACAAGACCAUCAUCAUGAAAAAUAAAAAAUAACAACUCAUAAGGGGGUGAAUGAAAGAAACUUGCCUUUCUUGAUUUAAACUUCUUCAUUGGAGAAGAAAAAACAGUUUUUCCAGAAGUGAAACAUGCUUCAGCAUGGAGAAGAAAAAACAGUUUUUCCAGAAGUGAAACAUGCUUCAGCAUUGUUUCUUUAUGAUAUAGGGGUAACAGAAAAUGAAUGAAAGAGGAUAAUAAAUAAAGAUGCUGAAGCUGGCAUCUGAAAUAUACCUUUUUCUAAUUGCUAUUUUCUCU
Molecule: long non-coding RNA, 1428 nt
Filed under: Capsicum annuum
Lineage: Eukaryota; Viridiplantae; Streptophyta; Magnoliopsida; Solanales; Solanaceae
Description: long non-coding RNA (CANN_LNC004404)
Source: RNAcentral